UACGGUGAGCCUGUCAUUAUUCAGAGAGGCAUGAUCCUCAUCUUUGAGAAGAAUCAUGAUGGGCUCCUCGGUGU
This 74-nucleotide microRNA precursor is filed under the name Dasypus novemcinctus (nine-banded armadillo). RNAcentral's name for it is "microRNA dno-mir-433 precursor". Its record names the gene dno-mir-433. Lineage: Eukaryota; Metazoa; Chordata; Mammalia; Cingulata; Dasypodidae. The record is from miRBase by way of RNAcentral.